UAUUUAUUAGAUAAAAAACCAACGCCCUUCGGGGCUCCUUGGUGAAUCAUAAUAACUUAACGAAUCGCAUGGCCUUGCGCCGGCGAUGGUUCAUUCAAAUUUCUGCCCUAUCAACUUUCGAUGGUAGGAUAGUGGCCUACCAUGGUGGCAACGGGUAACGGGGAAUUAGGGUUCGAUUCCGGAGAGGGAGCCUGAGAAACGGCUACCACAUCCAAGGAAGGCAGCAGGCGCGCAAAUUACCCAAUCCCGWUWYKKGGAGGUAGUGACGAUAAAUACUGAUACGGGGCUCUUUUGGGUCUCGUAAUUGGAAUGAGAACAAUUUAAAUCCCUUAACGAGGAACAAUUGGAGGGCAAGUCUGGUGCCAGCAGCCGCGGUAAUUCCAGCUCCAAUAGCGUAUAUUAAAGUUGUUGCAGUUAAAAAGCUCGUAGUUGAACCUUGGGUCUGGCUGGCCGGUCCGCCUCACCGCGAGUACUGGUCCGGCUGGACCUUUCCUUCUGGGGAACCUCAUGGCCUUCACUGGCUGUGGGGGGAACCAGGACUUUUACUGUGAAAAAAUUAGAGUGUUCAAAGCAGGC
This 576-nucleotide ribosomal RNA is filed under the name uncultured eukaryote. RNAcentral describes it as "SSU rRNA". It matches the Rfam family "Eukaryotic small subunit ribosomal RNA", at positions 205 to 796 of the family's 1831-position model. The record is from RNAcentral.